ACUGGGGGGACAGGAGUAUAAAAAGAAGAGGCAGACACCCUUCUCACUCACUGCCCAUCAAUUCACUGCACGAGAAGGGACAAAGGAAGCAGCCAUUAAAAAGAAGGAGAGUCCUGGCCUAAAAAAUUUGGCCGGUAAGAUUGAGAGCAUGUGUGGAACUUUGGCAAUACAUCUGAGGAUUAUCAGCGCUCGAGUGGUUUAUCCUCCUACAUCCUCACUGCAAAGUGGGCAGGUGACCAGCCCGAGCGAAAGUGGAACCUGGACUCUAACACCCCCGCUGUGCCAGCCAGCCUGGCUUGAAAGCACCACUAAACCCAGAAAUCUCAUUUCACGGGAAUCUUUGAAUUUUUUGGCUUUGUUCCAAUUUGGAAUGAAAAUAAAGUUUGAAAUCACAGAAGUUCCAGUAGAACAGAGAUUCCAGUUGCCACUUCUCUCUAUUCAGGAGUUUUGAAUGUAUAAGUUAGGCAAGAUCAUGCCCAUUGUUUGGCUGAAGAUGACCACGGCUUUUGAGAUGGUUCCCUUCCACUUAUCAUGGAUGGGGUUAGUAGGCCAGGAAAUUCCAUGAAGAUGACCUCAGGGAAGUUUCUCCAAAUCUUCUGCUCAAGGGGGAGGGCUUCAGAGGCCACAAGCUUAAGGGGUGCAUGUAGGCACCCAGUGCUAGGGAUCUCUAAGGAAGGGGACCUCUAUUCCUGUUGAAGAUUGGCUACUCCCCCUUGCUUCUAUGGUUUCCCCUUCACAAUGGCAGCAUGUCAUCUACAGAAACCAGGCUGCUGUUGACCAAGUGUACCCCACAUCACAUGCCUGAAGGCACACAUGCCUGAGUGCGGAUAACUGGUUCGAGAUCUGCUGUAGCUGGGGGCAAGAAUGCUGUGGGUGGCAGCUCCAAUGCCUCCCACAUUAAACCCUAUGGAGCACCAAUUGAGGGGUCUCCGUGUUGUCCGAAACAGAGGAUUGAUGCCACAGAGCUGCUAUUCUUCUCUAUACCUGGGGCAAAAGGGAUGACUGGCCCAACCCAUUAGCAGUCACUUUUCAUUCCCUUCAAAGUAGAGCAAGAAUGAAAUGUUUCAUCUUUGCUCAUGAAUAACCUGAAAGUGCUGACUCAUCACAGAAAUAUGAAAUGAGCAAAGCAAGCCUGGCUUUGUGCAGCAACGUCCCUCUCUCCCCCACAAACUGCCCUGUGAGUCACUGGUAAGACCCCUCAGUACAGAGCAAUGAGAAUUCCCUGACUGUCUCAAACAAUAUUCUGCAGACUUCACUGCCUCCUGCAUCAGCUGUCUGCCCCUUAUCUUUCUCUUUGAUGGAAAGGGUUUGUCUCCCUUAGACAGCUUUAUCUGAUGUAAUGUGGGGCAUUGUUUUAAGCUGGGCGAGGGAGUUGUCAGAGGGUUUGAGACCAGCCAGAGAGGUCAGACUCUAAGCAAGGGGAGUGAUCCUUUAUGUGGGAUAAAGUCAGCUUAGAGCGGGUGCAUGCAGGUUUACUUUUCCAAGGUGCAUCCUAGACACCACAAUUCACUUAAUAUCUGAAAGUGAUAAAAAUCU
Molecule: long non-coding RNA, 1536 nt
Organism: Dermochelys coriacea (leatherback sea turtle)
Lineage: Eukaryota; Metazoa; Chordata; Testudines; Dermochelyidae
Exons: 3
Source: RefSeq, a predicted model, not a curated record